RNAcentral lists this ribosomal RNA (436 nucleotides) under Rhizobium sp. CL1.41. Its description in RNAcentral is "bacterial SSU rRNA". It matches the Rfam family "Bacterial small subunit ribosomal RNA", at positions 14 to 497 of the family's 1533-position model. The record is from RNAcentral. Lineage: Bacteria; Pseudomonadati; Pseudomonadota; Alphaproteobacteria; Hyphomicrobiales; Rhizobiaceae.
UGAUCCCUGGCUCAGAACGAACGCUGGCGGCAGGCUUAACACAUGCAAGUCGAGCGCCUCGCAAGAGGAGCGGCAGACGGGUGAGUAACGCGUGGGAAUCUACCCAUCUCUACGGAAUAACGCAUGGAAACGUGUGCUAAUACCGUAUACGCCCUUUGGGGGAAAGAUUUAUCGGAGAUGGAUGAGCCCGCGUUGGAUUAGCUAGUUGGUGGGGUAAAGGCCUACCAAGGCGACGAUCCAUAGCUGGUCUGAGAGGAUGAUCAGCCACAUUGGGACUGAGACACGGCCCAAACUCCUACGGGAGGCAGCAGUGGGGAAUAUUGGACAAUGGGCGCAAGCCUGAUCCAGCCAUGCCGCGUGAGUGAUGAAGGCCUUAGGGUUGUAAAGCUCUUUCACCGGAGAAGAUAAUGACGGUAUCCGGAGAAGAAGCCCCGGC